Molecule: ribosomal RNA, 492 nt
Filed under: uncultured bacterium
Lineage: Bacteria
Description: partial 16S ribosomal RNA
Rfam family: Bacterial small subunit ribosomal RNA
Source: RNAcentral
AGUGAACGCUGGCGGUAGGCCUAACACAUGCAAGUCGAACGGCGGCACAGUAAGAGCUUGCUCUUACGGGUGGCGAGUGGCGGACGGGUGAGGAAUACAUCGGAAUCUACUUUUUCGUGGGGGAUAACGUAGGGAAACUUACGCUAAUACCGCAUACGACCUACGGGUGAAAGCAGGGGAUCUUCGGACCUUGCGCGAUUGAAUGAGCCGAUGUCGGAUUAGCUAGUUGGCGGGGUAAAGGCCCACCAAGGCGACGAUCCGUAGCUGGUCUGAGAGGAUGAUCAGCCACACUGGAACUGAGACACGGUCCAGACUCCUACGGGAGGCAGCAGUGGGGAAUAUUGGACAAUGGGCGCAAGCAUGAUCCAGCCAUCCCGCGUGGGUGACGAAGGCCUUCGGGUUGUAAAGCCCUUUUGUUGGGAAAGAAAAGCAGCAGGUUAAUACCACGCUGUUCUGACGGUAACCAAAGAAUAAGCACCGGCUAACUUCGUG